UACAGAGGGUGCGAGCGUUGUUCGGAAUUACUGGGCGUAAAGCGCGCGCAGGCGGCCCUUUAAGUCUACCCGUGAAAUGCCGGAGCUCAACUCCGUGCACGCCGGGGGAUACUGGAGGGCUGGAGACGAGUAGAGGCAAGCGGAAUUCCGGGUGUAGCGGUGGAAUGCGUAGAGAUCCGGAAGAACACCGGAGGCGAAGGCGGCGCUCUGGGCCGGAACUGACGCUGAGGAGCGAAAGCGUGGGUAGCAAACAGG
This 255-nucleotide ribosomal RNA is filed under the name uncultured bacterium. RNAcentral's name for it is "partial 16S ribosomal RNA". It matches the Rfam family "Bacterial small subunit ribosomal RNA", at positions 524 to 776 of the family's 1533-position model. The record is from RNAcentral.